UGACUUAUAGCUUAACGGUGAGAGCAGUUGCCUUAUACGCAAAAGGUUAUUGGUUCGAAUCCAAUUAAGUCAA
This 73-nucleotide transfer RNA is filed under the name Ferruginibacter sp. RNAcentral describes it as "tRNA-Ile". It matches the Rfam family "tRNA". From Rfam's summary of the family: Transfer RNA (tRNA) molecules are approximately 80 nucleotides in length. The record is from RNAcentral. Lineage: Bacteria; Pseudomonadati; Bacteroidota; Chitinophagia; Chitinophagales; Chitinophagaceae.